UACGUAGGGGGCGAGCGUUGUCCGGAAUGACUGGGCGUAAAGCGCGCGCAGGCGGUUCUUCGCGUCCGGGGUGAAAGGCUGGGGCUCAACCCUGGCAUUGCCUUGGAAACGGGAGGACUUGAGGACUGGAGAGGCAAGGGGAAUUCCACGUGUAGCGGUGAAAUGCGUAGAGAUGUGGAGGAAUACCAGUGGCGAAGGCGCCUUGCUGGACAGAACCUGACGCUGAGGCGCGAAGGCGUGGGGAGCAAACAGG
Molecule: ribosomal RNA, 253 nt
Filed under: uncultured Tumebacillus sp.
Lineage: Bacteria; Bacillati; Bacillota; Bacilli; Caryophanales; Alicyclobacillaceae
Description: partial 16S ribosomal RNA
Rfam family: Bacterial small subunit ribosomal RNA
Source: RNAcentral